RNAcentral lists this unclassified non-coding RNA (322 nucleotides) under fungal sp. RNAcentral describes it as "partial internal transcribed spacer region". The stretch from base 1 to 45 matches the Rfam family "Eukaryotic small subunit ribosomal RNA", at positions 1787 to 1831 of the family's 1831-position model. Lineage: Eukaryota; Fungi. The record is from RNAcentral.
AGUCGUAACAAGGUAUCCGUAGGUGAACCUGCGGAUGGAUCAUUAUAGGGUGUUGGGUAAUUGUGAGUGGUUUUAUUAUUAGUAGUUUGAGCGGUGUUGGUUGGGAUGCUUGCAGGAUUGCCAAGCAGGAUUGCCAAGCAGGAUUGCCAAGCAGGAUUGCCAAGCAGGAUUGCCAAGCAGGAUUGCCAAGCAGGAUUGCGAAGCAGGAUUGCCAAGCAAGACAGCCAACAUUGCCAGCCAACAUUGCCUCACGUUAAACUCUAUAAAUCUAACAAUUACAUACAAAAAAAAACAACUUUUAGCAACGGAUCUCUUGGCUCUC